Molecule: ribosomal RNA, 138 nt
Filed under: uncultured bacterium
Lineage: Bacteria
Description: partial 16S ribosomal RNA
Source: RNAcentral
GCACAGAGUUAGCCGGUGCUUAUUCCUUAAGUACCGUCAUUGAUUCUUCCUUAAGAAAAGAGGUUUACACACCACGAUGCUUCAUCCCUCACGCGGUAUUGCUCCAUCAGGCUUUCGCCCAUUGUGGAAAAUUCCCCA